Molecule: ribosomal RNA, 465 nt
Filed under: Vreelandella stevensii
Lineage: Bacteria; Pseudomonadati; Pseudomonadota; Gammaproteobacteria; Oceanospirillales; Halomonadaceae
Description: partial 16S ribosomal RNA
Rfam family: Bacterial small subunit ribosomal RNA
Source: RNAcentral
CCUACGGGCGGCAGCAGUGGGGAAUAUUGGACAAUGGGCGAAAGCCUGAUCCAGCCAUGCCGCGUGUGUGAAGAAGGCCUUCGGGUUGUAAAGCACUUUCAGUGGGGAAGAAAGCCUUGGGGCUAAUACCCUCGAGGAAGGACAUCACCCACAGAAGAAGCACCGGCUAACUCCGUGCCAGCAGCCGCGGUAAUACGGAGGGUGCGAGCGUUAAUCGGAAUUACUGGGCGUAAAGCGCGCGUAGGCGGUCUGAUAAGCCGGUUGUGAAAGCCCCGGGCUCAACCUGGGAACGGCAUCCGGAACUGUCAGGCUAGAGUGCAGGAGAGGAAGGUAGAAUUCCCGGUGUAGCGGUGAAAUGCGUAGAGAUCGGGAGGAAUACCAGUGGCGAAGGCGGCCUUCUGGACUGAUACUGACGCUGAGGUGCGAAAGCGUGGGUAGCAAACAGGAUUAGAUACCCCAGUAGUC